Molecule: long non-coding RNA, 704 nt
Organism: Cheilinus undulatus (humphead wrasse)
Lineage: Eukaryota; Metazoa; Chordata; Actinopteri; Labriformes; Labridae
Exons: 6
Source: RefSeq, a predicted model, not a curated record
AGGAAGUUCACAGUUGAGCUGGGCAGAAGGGUGGUUGUCGGUGACUUCUUCGAGAAAAUGUGACAGGAAGAUUUACAAGACGGGAGGCGUGACGAUGGCACUAGCUAACAUGCUACCAAACGGACAAGACAGCUACACUGGACUCCAGGUUAGGAGCAGGCGCGCGACAGUUGUUUGAAAGUUUAACGGUCGGCACGAGGUUCAUUGUUACAGAGGUAAUGAGGUGAUGGAGACGACGAUGACUGGGGCUCAACUCCAGACGUGAAGCAAGUUCACCCAGACAUCCCUCUUUAGCGACACUUUCCCUUCCUUCUGGGUUAUUCUGAGGCAUUCCCAGACCAGAUGCAGGGAUGGAUGGAUGCUACAGCAGUGAGGUCAUAAACCAUGGCUUAAAGGAAUAUAAAAGGCAGAAGUGAAUGUGGGGAGGUUUCAGAGGCAGCAGGAGAAGAUGAUUGUCUGUGGUUGGAUGCCGCUGAACUCCUGAAGGACGACCAGCAGACAAACCGCCUUCAUUCAGAAACGCCCCAUACAUCAACACGCCGCUCAACGGGCCGCCUGCAGCAGCUCGGACACCCUGCAGACGUGUUUGUGCCGUCGACCUGCAUGAAACAACAAUGGACUGUCAGCAUCAUCAGUUUUCAUGCCAGCCUCGCCGUAAAAAGACAAGAGAGCCAGUGUGAUGUACAGCUGAUCCUCUGAAACAC